Molecule: long non-coding RNA, 2151 nt
Filed under: Eucalyptus grandis
Lineage: Eukaryota; Viridiplantae; Streptophyta; Magnoliopsida; Myrtales; Myrtaceae
Description: long non-coding RNA (EGRA_LNC004418)
Source: RNAcentral
UUGGCCAAAGAUAGUCGCAAGUAAACGCCAAGCUACACGACGGGAAUUCCCGGAGGUCUUGUUCCAACCCCGUGAGUGCCUGUUUAAAUUACAAGAUUUGAAUAACAGUUCAGCGAGAUGGUUGUACCAACUGCAAUAAAAAGACAAUGAAGAACAAUCAUGUCUGAUCAGAAAUGGCCCAAAGAAUGAUAGACAAGCCUGCAUAACAAUGAUCAGCCAAGCAAUGUUGGAAAACAUCAAAUAGCGGCUCAACUGAGCAUGCAAAUUAACAAACAUACCAUCGCAUCAAAAUAUAACGUCGUAUUAGCGCACAUCUAAUUUUUAGAAAAAACACUAAUGGCUGCAAUAAUCUACCUCUCCUUACAUUCUUUCAUAUUGCCAUCAUGCCAGUUAUUUGGAGCUAGAUAGCCUCACUACUUGUUGCAUAUCAUAUGUAUUCAUAGCCACAGCUCCACAAUUGAUUCGAAUGAAGAUAAGAUCAUAUGCCUAUCUUUGCUCGAAAGGAAGUUUUGAGAGCUAAUCGAAUGUAGAGUUAUCUCCCCCUCUUUUACAGCUAAAUACUUUCUCAGUAGUUUCCAAUAAACCGCGCAAAAUCAUCUCCCCUGCCAUGAUUCAAUCGCUUUAACUCGGUCAAAUGCAUAAAACCCAAAACAUCUAGCACCACUCGCUAUCCUUUUGCUCUGUUUCCUCAAAAGUUGAAACCACGAAGUCAAUCCGGACAUGCCUCUAUUCUCUAUUCUGGAAAUGCGUAGGUCCAUAGACAGAAAGAAUUUUCCUUUACAUCGUAUGUUAAUACUUUCCAAAGGGCUUCAAGUCGAGUGACGUUUUUUUAUCAUAAACUUUGCGGUCAAUACUAUGGAGCUCGGAGGCAAAAGCGACGUUGUAAAGUAUAUCUAAUGUAUGCACAGAGAGUACAUCAAAGUCAUUAGGUAGAACAUAUAAAAUAUGGGAAAAUUAAGAGUCCUAAAUUUAUUACAUUUUUACCAAUUCAGUCAUAAACAUUGUAGUUUUACCAAUUGAAUCCUAGACUUUUCAAUAUUUGCUAAUUGAGUUCAUUCGGCCAAUUUUGAUUGGAAUUCGCUAAUGUGAACGUCAACCAUCCUACAUAAUACGAUCAAAGUUGACGUGGACAAAAUUAAUUAUUUUUUAAAAUUUGUCUAAUUUUUUAAUUAUUCUUUGUAUUUUUAAUUUCUUUUUUUCUUUUUCUUCCUCUAACCAGUUGCCUAGCUUUUGGCAACUAGCCAAAAGCCACAACCAGCGAUGGUCGGCCUCGCCAACCUCAAGCAAGGCUUGGCCUCUGAGGGUUGGCCCUCAGGUGAGGUUGCCCCUCAUUGGAUCCUGGCGAGGGCGAGCCUUGCUCUCUACCGGCUGGGUUGCCCCUCGCUAGAUCAUGGCCUCUGGUUGGCGAGGUCAAUUCCUCAUUGAUUGUGGCCUUUGGCUAGUCAUGGGAGGUUGGGCCAUUGGUCAGAAAAUAUAAAGGAAAGAAAUUAAAAAAGAAAUUAAAAGCAUAAAAAAUUAAAAAAUUCGAAAAAAAUAUUAAAAAACUAAUAAAAUUGUCCAUGUUAACAUUGGUGUCCACAUUGGUAAAUUUCACCCAAAAUUGACCGGAUAAACUCAAUUGAUAAAAUUUAAAAAGAUUUAGGAUUCAAUUGGUAAAGUAGAAAAAUUUAGGAUUGAAUUGAUAAAAAUAUAAUAUGUUUAUAACUUUUUGAACAAUUUUCUCAAUCAAAUACAGCCCAAUUUAUCUGAAGUCCAGAAAAAAUGGAGCCGGUUUAUCCCUUUCUGUCUUCUUUUACCAAGCUAAAUUAUAUCCAAAAGAGAAAACCAAGAAGCACGUACAGAGGAGGAAUUACCUCCUUUUGGACGGCGGCGGCGGCGGCCAGCAUCUGAGCUCAACGAUUCUCCCUGUUUUGCAGUGACCCACCACCAAAGAUCUGCCAAAAAACCGGAAUUCAUUUGACCAGCGGCACAUAAAGACCUGAAAACGUGGUCCUGGAGAUUCCUUCUUGCACCGAUGAGAUCAAAGACGAAUGAACCCACGACAUAAUCGUUUACCUGAACGCAAAUUCCCGCUUGAACCGACGGCGAACGGAGAUGCAAAGAUACCGCGCGCGAAGAGAAGGAACCGACGCUGGAGGGGAAGAGGAGUGA